UAGGGAAUCUUCCGCAAUGGGCGAAAGCCUGACGGAGCAACGCCGCGUGAGUGAUGAAGGUCUUCGGAUCGUAAAACUCUGUUAUUAGGGAAGAACAAAUGUGUAAGUAACUAUGCACGUCUUGACGGUACCUAAUCAGAAAGCCACGGCUAACUACGUGCCAGCAGCCGCGGUAAUACGUAGGUGGCAAGCGUUAUCCGGAAUUAUUGGGCGUAAAGCGCGCGUAGGCGGUUUUUUAAGUCUGAUGUGAAAGCCCACGGCUCAACCGUGGAGGGUUAUUGGAAACUGGAAAACUAGAGUGCAGAAGAGGAAAGUGGAAUUCCAUGUGUAGCGGUGAAAUGCGCAGAGAUAUGGAGGAACACCAGUGGCGAAGGCGACUUUCUGGUCUGUAACUGACGCUGAUGUGCGAAAGCGUGGGGAUCAAACAGG
This 429-nucleotide ribosomal RNA is filed under the name Actinomycetes bacterium. Its description in RNAcentral is "Actinobacteria bacterium partial 16S ribosomal RNA". It matches the Rfam family "Bacterial small subunit ribosomal RNA", at positions 355 to 776 of the family's 1533-position model. The record is from RNAcentral. Lineage: Bacteria; Bacillati; Actinomycetota; Actinomycetes.